UACGAAGGGGGCUAGCGUUGUUCGGAAUCACUGGGCGUAAAGCGCACGUAGGCGGAUCUUUAAGUCAGAGGUGAAAUCCCAAGGCUCAACCUUGGAACUGCCUUUGAUACUGGGGAUCUUGAGUCCGGGAGAGGUGAGUGGAACUGCGAGUGUAGAGGUGAAAUUCGUAGAUAUUCGCAAGAACACCAGUGGCGAAGGCGGCUCACUGGCCCGGUACUGACGCUGAGGAGCGAAAGCGUGGGGAGCAAACAGG
This 253-nucleotide ribosomal RNA is filed under the name uncultured bacterium. Its description in RNAcentral is "partial 16S ribosomal RNA". It matches the Rfam family "Bacterial small subunit ribosomal RNA", at positions 524 to 776 of the family's 1533-position model. The record is from RNAcentral.